UACGAAGGGGGCUAGCGUUGUUCGGAAUUACUGGGCGUAAAGCGCACGUAGGCGGACUAUUAAGUCAGGGGUGAAAUCCCGGGGCUCAACCCCGGAACUGCCUUUGAUACUGGUAGUCUCGAGUCCGGAAGAGGUGAGUGGAAUUCCGAGUGUAGAGGUGAAAUUCGUAGAUAUUCGGAGGAACACCAGUGGCGAAGGCGGCUCACUGGUCCGGUACUGACGCUGAGGUACGAAAGCGUGGGGAGCAAACAGG
Molecule: ribosomal RNA, 253 nt
Filed under: uncultured bacterium
Lineage: Bacteria
Description: partial 16S ribosomal RNA
Rfam family: Bacterial small subunit ribosomal RNA
Source: RNAcentral